This 450-nucleotide ribosomal RNA is filed under the name uncultured bacterium. RNAcentral describes it as "bacterial SSU rRNA". It matches the Rfam family "Bacterial small subunit ribosomal RNA", at positions 354 to 796 of the family's 1533-position model. The record is from RNAcentral.
GUGGGGAAUAUUGGACAAUGGGCGAAAGCCUGAUCCAGCCAUGCCGCGUGUGUGAAGAAGGUCUUCGGAUUGUAAAGCACUUUAAGUUGGGAGGAAGGGCAGUAAGUUAAUACCUUGCUGUUUUGACGUUACCGACAGAAUAAGCACCGGCUAACUUCGUGCCAGCAGCCGCGGUAAUACGAAGGGUGCAAGCGUUAAUCGGAAUUACUGGGCGUAAAGCGCGCGUAGGUGGUUUUGUAAGUUGGAGGUGAAAUCCCCGGGCUCAACCUGGGAACUGCCUCCAAAACUGCAUGACUAGAGUACGGUAGAGGGUAGUGGAAUUUCCUGUGUAGCGGUGAAAUGCGUAGAUAUAGGAAGGAACACCAGUGGCGAAGGCGACUACCUGGACUGAUACUGACACUGAGGUGCGAAAGCGUGGGGAGCAAACAGGAUUAGAAACCCGGGUAGUCC